Rhineura floridana is the source of this 282-nucleotide long non-coding RNA. RefSeq lists it as uncharacterized. The record is from RefSeq and is a predicted model, not a curated record. Lineage: Eukaryota; Metazoa; Chordata; Lepidosauria; Squamata; Rhineuridae. The transcript has 3 exons.
CAUGUGGGAGAGAAGGAGGGAGGUUGGCUGGCUGGCGGACAAUGGAGCCUGUGUGUGCUUUCGGGAAGGGAGCGAAUUCACCGUCGCCGGGGGAAGAAGCUGCGCCGCCCCCUCCUGCCCGGGGCUGAGAGGUGUCCCCUGGCCGGGCCAGGCCAGGCCCUCCGCCCUUGCUGGGGAAAGCGGUGAUCUUUAUUUGUCCGCAAAGGGCUUUUGAACCCAUCGUCAGGAUGAUCAGCACAAUGUCGUGACACUGGAGUUCUGUUUUCCCUGGAGAUGCGAGAC